CGCUGGCGGCGUGCUUAACACAUGCAAGUCGAACGGACUGAGUUGAUAGCUUGCUAUUGAUGAGGUUAGUGGCAAACGGGUGAGUAACGCGUAGGCAACCUGCCCUUCAGAUGGGGACAACACCUCGAAAGGGGUGCUAAUACCGAAUGACGUUUCCUAGUCGCAUGACCUGGAAACCAAAGGCCGGGCAACCGGUCACUGAAGGAUGGGCCUGCGUCUGAUUAGCUAGUUGGUGGGGUAACGGCUCACCAAGGCGACGAUCAGUAGCCGGUCUGAGAGGAUGAACGGCCACAUUGGGACUGAGAUACGGCCCAGACUCCUACGGGAGGCAGCAGUGGGGAAUAUUGCGCAAUGGGGGAAACCCUGACGCAGCAACGCCGCGUGAAGGAUGAAGGUUUUCGGAUCGUAAACUUAUGUCUUCGGGGACGAGAACGGACGGUACCCGAGGAGGAAGCCACGGCUAACUACGUG
RNAcentral lists this ribosomal RNA (471 nucleotides) under uncultured bacterium. RNAcentral describes it as "bacterial SSU rRNA". It matches the Rfam family "Bacterial small subunit ribosomal RNA", at positions 34 to 507 of the family's 1533-position model. The record is from RNAcentral.